UGAGUAACCUGCCCUUAACUCUGGGAUAAGCCUGGGAAACUGGGUCUAAUACCGGAUAUGACUCCUCAUCGCAUGGUGGGGGGUGGAAAGCUUUUUGUGGUUUUGGAUGGACUCGCGGCCUAUCAGCUUGUUGGUGAGGUAAUGGCUCACCAAGGCGACGACGGGUAGCCGGCCUGAGAGGGUGACCGGCCACACUGGGACUGAGAUACGGCCCAGACUCCUACGGGAGGCAG
This 233-nucleotide ribosomal RNA is filed under the name uncultured bacterium. Its description in RNAcentral is "partial 16S ribosomal RNA". It matches the Rfam family "Bacterial small subunit ribosomal RNA", at positions 118 to 351 of the family's 1533-position model. The record is from RNAcentral.